This 914-nucleotide ribosomal RNA is filed under the name uncultured marine archaeon. Its description in RNAcentral is "bacterial SSU rRNA". It matches the Rfam family "Archaeal small subunit ribosomal RNA", at positions 1 to 922 of the family's 1478-position model. The record is from RNAcentral.
UUCCGGUUGAUCCUGCCGGACCUGACUGCUAUCGGAUUGAUACUAAGCCAUGCGAGUCUUUGCAGUAAUGCAAGGCAGACGGCUCAGUAACACGUAGUCAACUUACCCUAUGGACGAGGAUAAUCUCGGGAAACUGAGCAUAAUACUCGAUAGAUCAUAAUGCCUGGAAUGGUUUAUGGUUGAAAUGAUUCGUCGCCAUAGGAUGGGACUGCGGCCUAUCAGCUUGUUGGUGAGGUAAUGGCCCACCAAGGCGAUUACAGGUACGGGCUCUGAGAGGAGAAGCCCGGAGAUGGGUACUGAGACAAGGACCCAGGCCCUAUGGGGCGCAGCAGGCGAGAAAACUUUGCAAUGUGCGAAAGCACGACAAGGUUAAUCCGAGUGAUUUCUGCUAAAGAAAUCUUUUGCAAGUCAUAAAACCACUAGUGAAUAAGGGGUGGGCAAGUUCUGGUGUCAGCCGCCGCGGUAAAACCAGCACCUCAAGUGGUCAGGAGGAUUAUUGGGCCUAAAGCAUCCGUAGCCGGCUCUGUAAGUUUUCGGUUAAAUCCAUGUGCUCAACAUAUGGGCUGCCGAAAAUACUGCAUAGCUAGGGAGUGGGAGAGGUAGACGGUACUCAGUAGGAAGGGGUAAAAUCCUUUGAUCUAUUGAUGACCACCUGUGGCGAAGGCGGUCUACCAGAACACGUUCGACGGUGAGGGAUGAAAGCUGGGGGAGCAAACCGGAUUAGAUACCCGGGUAGUCCCAGCUGUAAACGAUGCAGACUCGAUGAUGCAUUGGCAUAUAGCCAGUGCAGUGUCGCAGGGAAGCCGUUAAGUCUGCCGCCUGGGAAGUACGUACGCAAGUAUGAAACUUAAAGGAAUUGGCGGGGGAGCACCACAAGGGGUGAAGCCUGCGGUUCAAUUGGAUUCAACGCCGGG